GCUGGGACUAGGAAUACAGGCUAACAUCUUGAGCAUCAAAAGGAUCAUCGUCUGUAACUGCGGUGGAAGGGGACCAGACUCCUAAGAGUGGAAGAUGAUCUAAGACACCAGAAGAGACUGAAUCCUCGCUCUCUGCAGACUUCCAAGUCCUGGAGAAUAGUGAGCAGAGAACAUGCUACAGCAGUGCAGGCUUCAUGGAUCGUCCUCACAGCUACGUUAUAUACCUGCAAUUUCCUCCAAAAUGGCAUUUAUGCUGUUCAUAACAUGCACAACUGAGCAACCGGAAAGCUGGACUGUCAUGUAUGUACGUAUAGAGUACCGGACAAUUCUUCAAGGGAGAUGGGGAGUUGGAAUUGCCCAGCAGCUACAUUCAGCAGUAAGUUUGGAGUGGCACUUACCCUUCACUUUGUUCUGCAAAUUCCACUAAAGUUCAGGAAGGAGGAUUUUGCCAUAUGUUAUUGGGCCAAAUGUAAAUGGGAGG
Molecule: long non-coding RNA, 481 nt
Organism: Chelonia mydas (Green sea turtle)
Lineage: Eukaryota; Metazoa; Chordata; Testudines; Cheloniidae
Exons: 3
Source: RefSeq, a predicted model, not a curated record